AGAGUUUGAUCCUGGCUCAGGACGAACGCUGGCGGCGUGCCUAACACAUGCAAGUCGAGCGGGGAUGGGCUGGUCAGCUUGCUGAUUGGCUUAACCUAGCGGCGGACGGGUGAGUAACGCGUGGGUAACCUACCCCAAAGUCCGGGAUAACAGCGGGAAACCGCUGCUAAUACCGGAUGUCUUUACCUUGGGGCAUCUUGAGGUAAAGAAAGGUAACGCUUUGGGAUGGGCCCGCGUCCCAUUAGCUAGUUGGUGAGGUAACGGCUCACCAAGGCGACGAUGGGUAGCCGGCCUGAGAGGGUGGACGGCCACACUGGGACUGAGACACGGCCCAGACUCCUACGGGAGGCAGCAGUAGGGAAUAUUGCGCAAUGGACGGAAGUCUGACGCAGCGACGCCGCGUGAGCGAUGAAGGUCUUCGGAUCGUAAAGCUCUGUCCUUGGGGAAGAAGGUCUUCGGACUUGACGGUACCCAAGAAGAAAGCCCCGGCUAACUACGUGCCAGCAGCCGCGGUAAUACGUAGGGGGCGAGCGUUGUCCGGAAUUACUGGGCGUAAAGGGUGCGUAGGCGGCCCUUUAAGUCGGAUGUGAAAGCCCGCGGCUUAACCGCGGAAUGGCAUUCGAAACUGGAGGGCUUGAGUGUCGGAGAGGGUAGUGGAAUUCCCAGUGUAGCGGCGAAAUGCGUAGAUAUUGGGAGGAACACCAGUGGCGAAGGCGACUACCUGGACGAUAACUGACGCUGAGGCACGAAAGCUAGGGGAGCAAACAGGAUUAGAUACCCUGGUAGUCCUAGCCGUAAACGAUGGGUACUAGGUGUGGGUGGUUUCGAUACCAUCCGUGCCGUAGUUAACGCAUUAAGUACCCCGCCUGGGGAGUACGUGCGCAAGCAUGAAACUUAAUGAAUUGACGG
This 909-nucleotide ribosomal RNA is filed under the name uncultured bacterium. RNAcentral describes it as "bacterial SSU rRNA". It matches the Rfam family "Bacterial small subunit ribosomal RNA", at positions 8 to 916 of the family's 1533-position model. The record is from RNAcentral.